UCCCCAGUAGCUCAGUUGGUAGAGCAGCUGACUGUUAAUCAGCUUGUCCCUGGUUCGAGCCCGGGCUGGGGAGCCA
RNAcentral lists this transfer RNA (76 nucleotides) under Gammaproteobacteria bacterium. RNAcentral's name for it is "tRNA-Asn". It matches the Rfam family "tRNA". From Rfam's summary of the family: Transfer RNA (tRNA) molecules are approximately 80 nucleotides in length. Their secondary structure includes four short double-helical elements and three loops (D, anti-codon, and T loops). The record is from RNAcentral. RNAcentral also lists the same sequence under 2 other names. Lineage: Bacteria; Pseudomonadati; Pseudomonadota; Gammaproteobacteria.